This 322-nucleotide ribosomal RNA is filed under the name uncultured eukaryote. RNAcentral describes it as "partial 18S ribosomal RNA". It matches the Rfam family "Eukaryotic small subunit ribosomal RNA", at positions 1470 to 1796 of the family's 1831-position model. The record is from RNAcentral.
CCCUUAGAUGUUCUGGGCCGCACGCGUGCUACACUGAGUGGAUCAGCGGGUCAGGUUGCGCGAAAGCGUUUCCUAAUCUUUAAAUCCGCUCGUGAUGGGGAUUGACGGUUGCAAUUUUCUGUCAUGAACGAGGAAUACCUUGUAAGCGCGGGUCAUCAUCCCGCGCUGAAUACGUCCCCGCCCUUUGUACACACCGCCCGUCGCUCCUACCGAUUGAGUGGUCCGGUGAGGCUUUGGGAUCUGAGCGGAAAGAGCGUUUCGCUGUUUCUGCCCGGAAAACUCAGUCGAACCUUAUCAUUUAGAGGAAGGAGAAGUCGUAACA